RNAcentral lists this ribosomal RNA (468 nucleotides) under uncultured bacterium. Its description in RNAcentral is "partial 16S ribosomal RNA". It matches the Rfam family "Bacterial small subunit ribosomal RNA", at positions 28 to 507 of the family's 1533-position model. The record is from RNAcentral.
GACGAACGCUGGCGGCGUGCUUAACACAUGCAAGUCGAACGGAAAGGCCCUGCUUUUGUGGGGUGCUCGAGUGGCGAACGGGUGAGUAACACGUGAGUAACCUGCCCUUGACUUUGGGAUAACUUCAGGAAACUGGGGCUAAUACCGGAUAGGAGCUCCUGCUGCUUGGUGGGGGUUGGAAAGUUUCGGUGGUUGGUGAUGGACUCGCGGCUUAUCAGCUUGUUGGUGGGGUAGUGGCUUACCAAGGCUUGGACGGGUAGCCGGCCUGAGAGGGUGACCGGCCACAUUGGGACUGGGAUACGGCCCAGACUCCAACGGGAGGCAGCAGUGGGGAAUAUUGUACAAGGGGCGGAAGCCUGAUGCAGCAACGCCGCGUGCGGGAUGACGUCCUUCGGGUUGUAAUCCGCUUUCGCCUGUGACGAAGCGUGAGUGACGGUAAUGGGUAAAGAAGCACCGGCUAACUACGUG